Rosa chinensis is the source of this 1597-nucleotide long non-coding RNA. RefSeq lists it as uncharacterized. The transcript is spliced from 8 exons. The record is from RefSeq and is a predicted model, not a curated record. Lineage: Eukaryota; Viridiplantae; Streptophyta; Magnoliopsida; Rosales; Rosaceae.
AUAGUUUUGAUAGUUUUAUACAUGUGGGAAAGUUCGAUUCACGAGAUGGAUUAAUUGUAUAAUUCACCCCCACUCCAACCCAUUUUGGCCUUCUGGGAAUCUGUAUUUAUUGUCCACAAAAGGUUUAAUCUUUAUUUGUGAUAGAAUAUAGUAGCUGACGCUGUUGAUUUUGUGUGUUGAAACAGGCCACCAUAGCUGAGAGAGCAAAUGCCUUCAGGCGACAGUGUUGCUAUCUGAAACUGCUGUUAGGCUGGUGUAUUUGUAUGUGAACAACAUAUAAGUAGUAGCUACUGUCAAUCUGUAGUUUAAGUAAAACAAAAUUGGUUCAGAAAAAAAAGAAUUGCAAAAUAGUGCAGAUGAUAACCAUUUCAUUUAACUGAUGUAGGACUUGCCUACAUUGGUAACCAAACCUCAAUUUGGAGACACUGCUUACCAAGAAAGUUUCUGGGUUUACUUCCUAUACAAUAAUAUCUUAAUUUAAGGCAAGAUCUGAAAAGACCCAAGAUUUUACGAGAAAAAGAUGAGUGAGUGUGAACAUGGAGUACAGGAAGCUCAAAGAUCAGGAUGAAAAUGGAAAUUCAGCUGCCGACGACAUAAAAAAUUUACGGGGAAAUCCGCUUUCUAUUGCACCAACUAUGGGAGAUGGGUCAAUAGACCAAAAAUGGAAGCACAAGUAUGAUUGAAGUAGAGGAGCUUCAGCCAUAUUCACAUGGAUAUACAGAGCUAAACUUUUUCUGAAGGAUGAGGGAACAAUGAUGUGACCCACAUUGACACCAUAUUCAAUAAUAUAUAAGACCUCUGCUUAAUUAAGAUGGCAGAAAAGAAUGCAGUGGAGGAUUUUAAUCGAGGAAGCUGAGAAUAAGUAGGACGACGACAUGUGGACAUCAGUGAACAACCAAAGAAAUAAGCUUUUCCAGAGAUGGAUGUCCAAGGAUGCUAUUGAUUUAUUUUGAUUGAGGUGAGAGGGAAUCUAGAAGACAAUUAUCUCAGUUCUUGAUAGUGCUCAUGGCCUCUGUAAGUGUGGCUCCUUUAUCUGGAUUAGGAGACGGCAGUGGAAAUACGGUUGCCCAGUGAGAUGAAUAACAUGAAAAUUAGGGAUGACGUACAAGAUAAACAAUACCCACUUAUUAUUGGCUCAAUCUUUGAUCCUGCUGUGGACUUUUCAAAAGGAGUAUUCUUCUUUUCUUAUCAGUUAUGACUUAUGGAGUUGGUCUCGGGUCUUGGUGGCUGAAAUUUUUUUUGUUACAAUGUAGGCAUUAAGGAGUUGACCUGGCUUAUAUGCUCAUUGGUAUUGAAAAGAGACACCUACCUGAAGCAUAGCCGGAAGCAAAAUUGAGCUGUGAAAAUCUUAAUCAAAGAUUUUGUAGUGAACCUUGAACGGCAGGAGACGUGAUGAUUUAGAAUGUUGAUGAGGAAAUACUGUAGUCAUGGGAGAUUCUUCUGCAGCAUUCAUACACACGUAACUGUUGAUGGCAAAGCUUCUAUCCCAAAAUUCCAUAUUUGCAAUAUGUAAAUAUACAAAUCUACUUAAAUACCAACUUUUGUAAUAUGUACAGUUAUGACAUUCACCAAUAAACGUUUCUUAGUUUAUGGUUCU